ACUGCUCAGUAACACGUGGACAACCUGCCCUUAGGUUGGGUAUAAACCCGGGAAACUGGGUAUAAUACCCGAUAGGUCUCGAUUGCUGGAAUGCAUCGAGAUUUAAAGCUCCGGCGCCUAAGGAUGGGUCUGCGGCCUAUCAGGUAGUAGUGGGUGUAGCGUACCUACUAGCCUACGACGGGUACGGGUUGUGAGAGCAAGAGCCCGGAGAUGGAUUCUGAGACACGAAUCCAGGCCCUACGGGGUGCAGCAGGCGCGAAAACUUUACAAUGCUGGCAACAGCGAUAAGGGAACCUCGAGUGCCAGGUUACAAAUCUGGCUGUCGAGAUGCCUAAAAAGCAUUUCAUAGCAAGGGCCGGGCAAGACCGGUGCCAGCCGCCGCGGUAACACCGGCGGCUCGAGUGGUAACCGUUAUUAUUGGGUCUAAAGGGUCUGUAGCCGGCCGGAUAAGUCUCUUGAGAAAUCUGGCAGCUUAACUGUCAGGCUUUCAGGAGAUACUGUCUGGCUCGAGGCCGGGAGAGGUGAGAGGUACUUCAGGGGUAGGGGUGAAAUCUUGUAAUCCUUGAAGGACCACCAGUGGCGAAGGCGUCUCACCAGAACGGACCUGACGGCAAGGGACGAAAGCUAGGGGCACGAACCGGAUUAGAUACCCGGGUAGUCCCAGCUGUAAACGAUGCAGGCUAGGUGCUUGGACGGCCACGUGCCGUUCUAGUGCCGCAGGGAAGCUGUUAAGCCUGCCGCCUGGGGAGUACGAUCGCAAGAUUGAAACUUAAAGGAAUUGGCGGGGGAGCAC
RNAcentral lists this ribosomal RNA (793 nucleotides) under uncultured archaeon. Its description in RNAcentral is "bacterial SSU rRNA". It matches the Rfam family "Archaeal small subunit ribosomal RNA", at positions 85 to 879 of the family's 1478-position model. The record is from RNAcentral.